Molecule: ribosomal RNA, 934 nt
Filed under: uncultured archaeon
Lineage: Archaea
Description: bacterial SSU rRNA
Rfam family: Archaeal small subunit ribosomal RNA
Source: RNAcentral
UCCGGUUGAUCCUGCCGGACCCGACUGCUAUUUGGGUGAGGAUAAGCCAUGCGAGUUGAAUGGGAUACCUAAAUUUCCCAUGGCAAACUGCUCAGUAACACAUGAUCAACUUGCCCUAUAGAGAAAAAUAACCUCGGGAAACUGAGGAUAAUGUUUCAUAGCUGAAUUGGCUUGGAAAAGUUUUUCAGUAAAAGGGAUAAAAAAAAUGGUUUUUAUCUGCUAUAGGAUAGGAUCGUGUUCGAUUAUGGUUGUUGGUGAGGUAAUGGCUCACCAAGCCGAUAAUCGAUAGGGGCCGUGAGAGCGGGAGCCCCGAGAUGGGUACUGAGACAACGACCCAGGCCUUACGAGGCGCAGCAGGCGCGAAACCUCCGCAAUACACGAAAGUGUGACGGGGUUACCCAAAGUGUUCAUCAUUGAACUGUGGUAGGUGAGUAAUGUUCCCUACUAGAAAGGAGAGGGCAAGGCUGGUGCCAGCCGCCACGGUAGAACCAGCUCUUCAAGUGGUCGGGAUAAUUAUUGGGCUUAAAGUGUCCGUAGCCGGUUUAGUAAGUUCCUGGUAAAAUCGGGUAGCUUAACUAUCUAUAUGCUAGGAAUACUACUAUACUAGAGGGCGGGAGAGGUCCGAGGUACUACAGGGGUAGGGGUGAAAUCUUAUAAUCCUUGUAGGUCCACCAGUGGCGAAGGCGUCAGACUGGAACGCGCCUGACGGUGAGGGACGAAAGCCAGGGGAGCGAACCGGAUUAGAUACCCGGGUAGUCCUGGCCGUAAACGAUGCAUACUAGGUGAUGGUACGGCCAUGAGCCGUGUCAGUGCCGUAGGGAAACCGUUAAGUGUGCCGCCUGGGAAGUACGGUCGCAAGGCUAAAACUUAAAGGAAUUGGCGGGGGAGCACCACAAGGGGUGAAGCCUGCGGUUCAAUUGGAUUCAACGCCGGG